ACUUCGCUUGGAGAAAAAAGAAACGACUAGCGCAAUAUUGUUGUCGAAGGAGAGGAAAUAAGAAACCUAGAAAUGACAAUUGCCCCGAGCUUAACCUUUCUUGUUGGCUUUAAUUAAAUUAGCUCGCCAUUUCAUUUGCGUAAAUUUACGUUGGCUUCAUAAAACUGAGCUCAAAAUAAAUAAUCCGUCUCUGAUUGCAUUAGAUUUACCACCUAAAGGAUUUCAUGUCAAUGGAGCGAAAUUGAAUUGGUACUCUUCAUUCUUAUUGCGACUAUUCGUAAGCCGUUGGCCACAUAGAAAAGAUUGAGCACAUCAACCAAUAAACACUUUAUAUAUUAAACUCUGAUUGUGUUUGUGCAGCUGGAUCGUCAGCAGAGGAAAAGGAAUGCAGACGAAAACUAGUUGAAUGAAUGACUUAAUUGUUCUGCCACACAAGAGCUAUUAAAAAACUAAGGGGGCUGCCUGCUCUAGACGGACGGUAUGAAAUGAGAUGUGCUCCCCAAUAACAGAAGCGAUGGCAAUGAGGUAGCAAUGAGGGAGUGAGUGAACGAAAUGCAGCAGCUUCAGCAACAGCAUCAGAGGGCUAAGUAACAAAGAGAGGAGAAAUGUGUGAAAUGUUUGCAUAUAAAUGUGUGUGUACGAGUAUGUUCUGGCGGAUAUACAUUUGCAUGUACAUCUAUUAUAUAUACGAGUGUGCACUAUAAAUUGAAUUUGAUGGAUUUAUGCACUAACUGUAAUUUGGUGAUGCCAUGAAGAGUUCAUUGGUUUCGGGUCAAUGGCGCAGCGGCAGAGAAUCCAGUCAAUUUACACAGUUUAAGUGCUUUCGGUUUGAAACUUUAUUACCGGAAUUAAUUCAGCCUUAAUUGCAUUUUCAGUGGCAAUGAACUUUGCUGACAUAAACGUUUAAUUGUAUGUUUAAACGCUGUGAUCUAAAAUUAAUUGCAAUAUUUUACUGGUAAGCCAUUUGUAAUUCAAGUUGAUUAGUUUUCGAGUGAAAAGCGGCCCUGUAAUAUUUGAAACUGACAACAAUGAAA
Molecule: long non-coding RNA, 1034 nt
Organism: Ceratitis capitata (Mediterranean fruit fly)
Lineage: Eukaryota; Metazoa; Arthropoda; Insecta; Diptera; Tephritidae
Exons: 3
Source: RefSeq, a predicted model, not a curated record